Molecule: ribosomal RNA, 405 nt
Filed under: uncultured bacterium
Lineage: Bacteria
Description: partial 16S ribosomal RNA
Rfam family: Bacterial small subunit ribosomal RNA
Source: RNAcentral
GACGAACGCUGGCGGCGUGCUUAACACAUGCAAGUCGAGCGGCGCGGCGAACGGGUGAGUAACGCGAGAGUAACUGCCCCCCUCUCUGGGAUAACAGUUGGAAACGGCUGCUAAUACCGGAUAGAGGGGGAUGACGCGCGUCCUAUCAGCUUGUUGGUGGGGUAGUGGCCUACCAAGGCGACGACGGGUCGCCGGACUGGGAGGGCGACCGGCCACAGUGGGCAGAGGUACGGGCCAAACUCCUACGGGGGGCAGCAGUGGGAAAUAUUGCGCAAUGGGGGAAACCAGGAAGCAGCAACGCCGCGUGCGGAAUGACGGCCUUCGGGUUGGAAACCGCUUUCAGCCAUGACGCGGUAGUGGCAGAAGAAGCACCGGCUAACUACGUGCCAGCAGCCGCGGUAAUAC